AGUAAUUUGCACAAGAACGUAACAUCACUAUAUGCACUAUGAUUUCAGAGUGAAACAUAUGAUUAUUUGCUAUUGGACCAACCAAAUGUGGUUUCAACUCCACAUGAGAAAUACCAUGUAGGAACUGAAACAUACAUCCAAGCAUACAAAACCAAGAAGUCAAGCAAGAAUUUGAUAGGGCAUCUAAGCCACGAUAACAUUCAGUCACGUUUGUAUGCAGUGUUGGUAGAGCGAAAUGUGUCAAUGCCACGAUAACAUCCACAUGUCCACCGUCAUGCCUCCGCGGCUCCUCCUGUCAACCACGCGCCUCUACCAGCGGUUGUGCCAGCAAGAAUACCCUGUGGGGACAUUAGAAAUCUGUGGGGUCAAUCUUCUCAAGUUACAAGGACUAAUGCGUAAAAUUUAGAAAAACAAAGGGGUGCUAUAAAAAAGCUAUGGGUUACCUGACCCCACGGCUUACAUGUAGGUUCUGCACUGGCCUCUGCCAUGGCGUGUCCCCACCUUCCUCGUCGCGCCUUCUCAAGUAUUCCCAAGAAGAUAACAACAAUAACGGACUGUUUCAGUAUUAUAAACUUAAUAUUAAUAUUAUUCGACAGACGUUCAAACUUGCACACAAAUCAUGUAAUGCAAAACUACUAAUGCCAGCUUAAUAAAAUGGCUCCGCUGCAUCAUACAUGGCAAAUUAAAGAUCAUGCUUGGUCACUUGAGAUGGCACAAUGGAAUAGGAAGAUUUUACAAAAUGAAAAGGCAAUCUCUUCAAUUCUUAAAUUAGCAGCAUUUCAAUAUUUGCAGCUGUUGAAAACUUGGUUGUUAUUGUCCUACAGUCAAUAUACAACUUCAUAUUAAAGAUUACUUACUUGGUGAGCGAUUAGCUAGAUUACCUACUGGUGAGCGGUUAGCUAAAUUAGUGACGGCGGUUUUUAACACUCCCAAGUUCAAUUUAGUGUGAACGAUGAUAGAUUGGUGAAAUUUUAUCAUCCUGAUAUAAAAUGCAGGUUCGGACACUUUGUAGCAUAGUUACCAAGGUGAGUUGUGUCACAGGACAUUCUUUUUGAAGUGUCUAAUUAUAUAUGAACUUAAUCAUGGUUGAAGAACAUUGCCAUGCCUCCCAAAAGUUUAGAAGUUAUUAGGAAUGUAGUGCAAUUACUAAUUAGCCAUGCCGUGUUCUAGCAUAUAAGGAAAUUGUUUUUGUCCAGUAUGUAGUACUGGAACAAGUAGUGUUUGGAAGCAUAUACAUCAAAUAAAAAUAGUUGAAGGCCCAACGAUAAUUUCAUACCUGUGGCAGAGGCAUCGCUUCAACAAACAGUACUACUAAUGAACAUUGCAAUAUUUGUUCAUAGUACAUAAUCCUUGUACGUCAGAAACCAGAAACUUUGUGUCAGUGUGUUUCAUGAGAAGAGGAAGCCAAUCCGUCCUAUUCCUAGCACAACAGCAAAUCAAAGGGAAGCAUGCUUUACAUGGCAGACGUUCCAGGUAAGAGAAGAAAAUCUAAUAUGAUACUUAUCUAACUGUAUGAAUACAUUAGAAAAUAUCAUUUCCAAUUCAGAAUUUACCAUCCAGAAAUCACAACCCUCCAUUACUACUGCCAGCAUCAUGCCAUUAACUAGUUCUGCAAGUCCAGUUGAUCAUAAUCCUUCGUGGCAACAAGGAGGGCCAAACGUUUAUGUUCUGGCAGUAGAUAUCACUACCAUGACCAUUGCCUCAAUGACUAACUUCCAGGUUCAGUAUUGCAGGUCCUCAUAUAUGCCAUCAAGAUGAUCAGAAGACAUAUAACCCUGCAAACAAAAGCAAUUUUGUAUUGUUGCAUAGUACCUUUCAGGGAUAAAGAGAACUAUAAUCAAUUAAGUCGUCCCUUAGACAAUAUAACUUUCGUCACACAAGGGUGACAUACAGCAGAAAAAAAAAUCAGUUGGCUCAUUUCAACAAGCAUUUAUCAUAAUCAAACCAGCAACAUAGGAUCACCAAAUUUGAGAUUCUUUUUUCAACCGCAUAAAACAAACAUCAAUAACUGAAUUUCAUUUAAGUAUUGCACAUUGCAGGAUAAAAAGAAAAAGGAAACGGGUAUUACACAUUAUAAACUCACCUUCUUUGUAUCUGUUGGCGGGUUGCUUGACCAAAUUUAGUAAUAUGCAUGCCAACAUGUCAAAAACGUUGAGCACCAAUAAAGCAAAGAAAACCAUAGGUAGAAGAUAAAUCAAUAUACUUCAUUCAUAUGCACUAAAUGCAUUGUAAAAAGGUACAAGUACUGAAAUGGAAUCAAAAAAACAGAAAUAAGAUUUGCAUAAUGGAGUGAGAUAUGAUUACGUUAGUGAUGUUUAAGAAAGCGACCAGAGCUUGUAGAGUUAGUCGUUGAGUUUUGCUUCUCUACCACAGCAGCUCCGUCACGCGCGAGGUUCUUGCUCUGGUACUGCUGCCCAUGCACUCUGCAACUUAGCCUUCGACAAU
Molecule: long non-coding RNA, 2445 nt
Filed under: Triticum aestivum (bread wheat)
Lineage: Eukaryota; Viridiplantae; Streptophyta; Magnoliopsida; Poales; Poaceae
Description: long non-coding RNA (TAES_LNC009274)
Source: RNAcentral